RNAcentral lists this ribosomal RNA (375 nucleotides) under uncultured bacterium. RNAcentral describes it as "bacterial SSU rRNA". It matches the Rfam family "Bacterial small subunit ribosomal RNA", at positions 29 to 412 of the family's 1533-position model. The record is from RNAcentral.
AAUGAACGUUGGCGGCAUGGAUUAGGCAUGCAAGUCGUACGAGAAGCCAAGUAGCUUGCUACGAGGCGGACAGUGGCGAAAGGGAGAGUAACGCGUAGUUACGUGCCCUCGGGACCGGGAUAGCGUCGGGAAACUGGCAGUAAUACCGGAUAAUAUCUACGGAUCAAAUGGUGUGAUUCCGCCCGAGGAUUGGACUGCGUACUAUUAGCUUGUUGGCGGGGUAAUGGCCCACCAAGGCUGUGAUGGUUACCGGGUGUGAGAGCAUGGCCCGGCUCACUGGGACUGAGACACUGCCCAGACACCUACGGGUGCUGCAGUCGAGAAUCUUCGGCAAUGGACGCAAGUCUGACCGAGCGAUGCCGCGUGCGGGAUGAA